RNAcentral lists this non-coding RNA (27 nucleotides) under Rattus norvegicus (Norway rat). The record is from RNAcentral. Lineage: Eukaryota; Metazoa; Chordata; Mammalia; Rodentia; Muridae.
UGUGUGGCAUUUCUGUACACUGUCUAC